CAAAAAGCAGGGCUCUGUUGUUACAUGAACUGAGCUCACGUAAAUGUCAGGGAAAUCGAAUUGGUCAUCAUGAUUGGGUGAACCUACGUUUCUUCUUAUAGCUAAUGGUUCAGUACAUGAUGGUACAUUA
This is a non-coding RNA of Brassica napus (rape), 130 nucleotides long. Lineage: Eukaryota; Viridiplantae; Streptophyta; Magnoliopsida; Brassicales; Brassicaceae. The record is from Rfam.